Molecule: ribosomal RNA, 316 nt
Filed under: uncultured Pseudomonas sp.
Lineage: Bacteria; Pseudomonadati; Pseudomonadota; Gammaproteobacteria; Pseudomonadales; Pseudomonadaceae
Description: bacterial SSU rRNA
Rfam family: Bacterial small subunit ribosomal RNA
Source: RNAcentral
CGUGAGAUGUUGGGUUAAGUCCCGUAACGAGCGCAACCCUUGUCCUUAGUUACCAGCACGUAAUGGUGGGCACUCUAAGGAGACUGCCGGUGACAAACCGGAGGAAGUGGGGAUGACGUCAAGUCAUCAUGGCCCUUACGGCCAGGGCUACACACGUGCUACAAUGGUCGGUACAAAGGGUUGCCAAGCCGCGAGGUGGAGCUAAUCCCAUAAAACCGAUCGUAGUCCGGAUCGCAGUCUGCAACUCGACUGCGUGAAGUCGGAAUCGCUAGUAAUCGUGAAUCAGAAUGUCACGGUGAAUACGUUCCCGGGCCUU